This 1503-nucleotide small RNA is filed under the name Pan troglodytes (chimpanzee). RNAcentral's name for it is "retained intron". The record is from RNAcentral. Lineage: Eukaryota; Metazoa; Chordata; Mammalia; Primates; Hominidae.
CGUGGGCUUCAUCCACUCUAUGUGCCAGACGGCUCAGAGCUUCUGCGACAGCCCUGGGGAGAAGGGGGGUGCCACACCACCUGCCCUGCUCCUGCUGCUCUCCCGCCUCUGCCUGGACUACGAGACGGCCACCAUCUCCUACAUCCUCACUCUCACUGAUGAACAGUUUCUGGUGCAGGAUCAGUUCCCAGUGACGCCUGUGAGCACACUGUGUGCAGAGGCCAGGGAAACGGCGCGGCGGCUGCUGACCCACUACGUGAAGGUGCAGGGCCUGGUCAUAUCACAGAUGCUGCGCAAGAGCGUGGAGACUCGCGACUGGCUCAGCACUCUGGAGCCUCGGAAUGUGCGGGCCGUCAUGAAGCGGGUGGUGGAGGAUACCACCGCCAUCGACGUGCAGGUGCUGCCCAGGCUGGCCGGGGUAGCCCUGACGCAGGCUGGGGGUACUGUCCCUUCAAGAGGGGCUGGGGCAGCAGAGGAUCACUAGCAGUCCCUGCCUGGAGGAGGGGACAUGUGUAUCUGGGCUUCUCACGGGGCCAGUUCUGUAGCCAGGGCGUCCGUGAGGGAACCCCAGGGGAACAAGUCUCCAAGGAUGAAGACCAAAGGGGCUGGGGAGUGCCUAUGUCCACGGUCUUGUUCCUCCUCAGCCCAGGAUUAUGACAUCUUCGCCCCUAUUUUACCUGUGGAGAAGCAGAGGCUCAGGGUUACCCAGGAAGUCAGGGCAGGGUUGGUGCUGGUGCUGAAGAUUAGACCUCAGACCAACUCUUGUAUCCUGCCUUUGCCCCACUCCACUGGUUCUAUAAAUAGCGACCAUGUACCUACUAAAUAGCGGGCCCCGCGGUGAUUACCCUGUGAUCCUUGUGAUGCUUGAGUAGCUGACUUAGGGCAUCCUCAGCACCGAUGGGCUGGUGGUUUCCCCUGACUCGGGGCUCCUUGCAGUACCUCUUUUUACCACCAGGUGGGGCUCCUGUACGAAGAGGGUGUUCGCAAGGCCCAGAGCAGCGACUCCAGCAAGAGGACCUUCUCCGUGUACAGCAGCUCUCGGCAGCAGGGCCGCUACGCCCCCAGCUAUACCCCCAGUGCCCCGAUGGACACCAACCUCUUGAGCAAUAUCCAGAAGCUAUUCUCUGAACGUAUUGAUGUGUUCAGCCCUGUGGAGUUCAACAAGGUGUCGGUGCUGACCGGCAUCAUCAAGAUCAGCCUGAAGACGCUGCUGGAGUGUGUGCGGCUGCGCACCUUUGGGCGCUUCGGGCUGCAGCAGGUGCAAGUGGACUGCCACUUUCUGCAGCUCUACCUGUGGCGUUUUGUGGCCGACGAAGAACUCGUGCACUUGCUGCUGGACGAAGUGGUGGCCUCUGCUGCCCUGCGCUGCCCAGACCCUGUGCCCAUGGAGCCCAGUGUGGUCGAGGUCAUCUGCGAGCGCGGCUAGGCGCAGCCGCUGCCAUGCACCUGUCUGUCCCUGCACCCCAUGGCACCCAGGAUCUGGUCUCGGUGGUCCUUCCCCGC